This 498-nucleotide ribosomal RNA is filed under the name uncultured bacterium. Its description in RNAcentral is "bacterial SSU rRNA". It matches the Rfam family "Bacterial small subunit ribosomal RNA", at positions 501 to 1000 of the family's 1533-position model. The record is from RNAcentral.
CUACGUGCCAGCAGCCGCGGUAAUACGUAGGGUGCGAGCGUUAAUCGGAAUUACUGGGCGUAAAGCGAGCGCAGACGGUUACUUAAGCAGGAUGUGAAAUCCCCGGGCUCAACCUGGGAACUGCGUUCUGAACUGGGUGACUAGAGUGUGUCAGAGGGAGGUAGAAUUCCACGUGUAGCAGUGAAAUGCGUAGAGAUGUGGAGGAAUACCGAUGGCGAAGGCAGCCUCCUGGGAUAACACUGACGUUCAUGCUCGAAAGCGUGGGUAGCAAACAGGAUUAGAUACCCUGGUAGUCCACGCUGUAAACGAUGUCGAUUUGGGGGUUGAGCUUUAAGUUUGGCGCCCGUAGCUAACGUGAUAAAUCGACCGCCUGGGGAGUACGGCCGCAAGGUUAAAACUCAAAUGAAUUGACGGGGGCCCGCACAAGCGGUGGAGCAUGUGGUUUAAUUCGAUGCAACGCGAAGAACCUUACCUACUCUUGACAUCCAGAGAACAUUC